Long non-coding RNA from Dama dama (fallow deer), 430 nucleotides. RefSeq lists it as uncharacterized. The transcript is spliced from 4 exons. The record is from RefSeq and is a predicted model, not a curated record. NCBI's taxonomy places the organism in Eukaryota, Metazoa, Chordata, Mammalia, Artiodactyla, Cervidae.
GGCGCGCCCGGCAGCCUGUGAGGCGGCCAGCAGGGGCGCGGGAGCCUGUGGAGUUUGGUGAAGCCAGAAUUUGGGGGAUUUGAAUGAGAACUGACCUUUUCCAGUCCUGUGGCCACUGCUGAGUUUUCCAAAUUUGCUGGCAUAUGGAGUGCAGCACUUUCACAGCAUCAUCUUUCAGGAUUUGAAGUAGCUCAACUGGAAUUCCAGCCAUCACCUCUACUAGAUUUGUUUGUAGUGAUGCUUCCUAAGGCCCACUUGACUUCACACUCCAAGAUGUCUGACUCUAGCUGGAGGAUAAUUGCCUUGCAGUGUUGUGUAGGUUUCUGCCACCAACAACGUGAAUCACCAUUCUAGGUGUAUCUACCUCACUGGAACUGACUCAAAUUUGUCCCUUUUAUGGCUGAGUAAUACCCCGUUGUAUAUAUGUACC